Long non-coding RNA from Cornus florida, 4450 nucleotides. RefSeq lists it as uncharacterized. NCBI's taxonomy places the organism in Eukaryota, Viridiplantae, Streptophyta, Magnoliopsida, Cornales, Cornaceae. The transcript is spliced from 4 exons. The record is from RefSeq and is a predicted model, not a curated record.
UCCAUUUUUUUCCCUCCGUUAAUUUUAGGCCCUAAACUACUUCAUUUUUGAGAGCCAAUUAACACUUUAUUCCCCUUUCCCAUUUCAUUUUGCAAUAACCCUAACACCUUCAGCCGCUCUCUCUCCUUCCAUCACAGCUCUCUCGCCCUUCCAUCAUCGGUCUCGCCCUUCCAUCACCGGUCAUCACAACUCUCUCCUUCCAUCACCGGUCAUCACAGCUCUCUCUCCUUCCAUCACCGGUCAGCGUUCCAAAACUGGUGGCUUGGUUUAGAGAGACAAAGUCACACACACAGAGAGAAAGAGUCGUCAUUGGGGGUUUCCAAAACCUCGUCUACACUAACAGAUCGGACGAGAAUUUUUUUAGAGUCGGCAGACGACUCUCUUCGCGAAAGCCCUAGCUCCUUGCCCCCGACUACUGGACAUCGCGAAAGCCUUGGAUAGCUCCUUGCCUCCUCCUUACAGCUUUCUGAAGUCUAAACAAGGAAGGAUAAGUAAUAAGCUGACAAUGAAACGAACGGUUAGUGAAGUGGAAAAAGUGAGUGAACAAAAAGGGGGUCAUGUGCUACUGAUGCUACUGCUUCGGAGAUGAUUGUAAGUUUUCAUGCUUCCAUUUUGCAAAAAGGGGGUCACGUGCCUUGAAGUGACCAAUUUUUAAACUCUUUGCGGUGUAUUAGGGGGUCACAUGCCUUGAAGUGACCAAUUUUUAAAUCAUCGGCCCGUGUGGAGGCAUUUUAAUUUCAUUAUUUAUCAUCGGCCCGUGUGGAGGCAAUUUACUUUCUUGUAUUUGUUGAAAAGCAUAGGAGUAUAGGAUCAUUGUAUGUGGAGGCUUCUUGUUGAUUGAAAUCUAUAAUCAUAUAAAAUGCAUUUAUAACAAACAUAUUAGUAUUGUGAUGUUAAUUUUUGGGUUUUAAUUUUAUGUGUUGCAGUUUAUACAUAGCACAUACAUGUUUUCAUGCACCACCAUACUGACUGAACGUCCACAAAAGAGCUGGUCAUCCCCAUGUUACACUAUACACUGAUAACAUUUGAUAGGUUUAUAAGGCCAAAAUACAAGUCAUACAACCAAGAAACAUGUUUUUUUUGUUUCUUUUUUUCUUUUCUGAAAAGUACAUUAAAAAGUUGUACCAUAAGUAAUAGACGGAAGUAAUUCUGAGCAGCCAUUAACCUUUGAAUGUAGGUUUCUAGCCCCAGCCUGUAUUGACCAAAUCCAAUAUUCAGUUCGAAAAUUUUCAUUUAAAUUCCCCUCUCUAUUCUUAAAAUCUAUACUUCAAGUAUCCAAUAGAAAUUUUCAUGUUCGCUCCUAUGAAUUCACUUUUAAAAUCUACACUUCGCUUCUUUAUUCUUAGUUGACUUCAGAUUGUGACAUUAACUACUUCUCUCUCAAUCACUCUCUGUGUCUCACACACACACAUGCACAAUGAAGCAAUGAAGUUACAAUUUUAUGGCUUACUGGGAAAAAAAAAAAAAAGUUACAAUUUUAUGCUUCCAGCACUUUUGAAACAUAGUCUUCAAGAAGGAAAUAUUUUCUAAUCACUGUAACUUACUGCACUCACAUAUUUCAUCAUUUGGAAAUGCAUAAAUAAACAUGAUGAAUCUUGUAGAUAUAACUUUCUUAGCAUCUUUAGUUAUAGAAAGAAAUGAUAAAUUUUGAGUGUUUCAUUACAUAUCAUUCUCUAAAAGUGUAAAACAAAAAAACAAAACUAUUCGAAAAUGAUGGCAGGACAAAAUAAGAAAAUACAUGCUACUACUCCACAAUUCUCAGACACUGAAAAAUUUACAUGACAGAUCAUAAAAUGCUACGGUUGAGAUACAGAACAUUCAACUAUAUACUGAAAAAAAAAAAAAAAAAAAAAUCACUAGUCAUUGUUUAUUUGAUGAAAAAACAUGACACAACUGAAUAUCAACCAUUAACCUAAAAAUGGGAUUGUUAGGGGCCAAAAUGGGGACUUGGGGUGGGACCCUUUGAUGUAAGAGAAAAGGAUUUUUUUAAUUUUGUUUCUUAAAAUUUUAUUAUCAUAUGGGAUCGAUGGGGUCCUUUGUUUGCAUUUUACUUUCAAAGUGUUCAUGUUCCUAUGAUUGUUUGGUUGGCAUGAAAAUCUAAAUCCUUUUCUUUUCUUUUCUUUCCUUUGUGGGGAGAACUAGUGGGGCAAUGGAUGGAUUUGGAUCAUUGGUAGGUAGGUUUGAAGUUUCUCCAUGGAUUUUGUGCUAGCCUUAUCACUUGUCCAUGCCCCUUCAUGUAAGGAGGAACUUCCUCCUUGUAGUUAAAUUUUGAUUCUCUAUAUCAGAACAUAAAUCUUUACACACACACACACAUAUAUAUCAAUAAUCAUUGUUCAUUCCUCUAUUUCUCACAUGUUCAUCAAUUCAUCCUUCGUAGUCCAAGAUGCAAAAUCUGACUGCUAAUGUGUGUGUGUGUGUGUGUGAGAACAUGUUGACUGGUAUGCAGAGUCAUGACCAAACUUCAAUGACUAUAUUUUAAGCUUAAAACAAUGGCUCUUCUAUUUAGUAGGAUUUAUAAUUUUCUUAUAUUGAAAACACCAGGGCUAUGUUAGAAGGACAUAGAUAAAUCCAUAGAGCCAACUACACAUCAAACACAAUUAAUUCAUACAUGAGCAAUAAUUACUCCCAGAAAAGCCUUAAGCUUAGAAGAAAAGAAAAAAAAAAGCAUCGGUUAGCAGCUCUAUCUCGUACUCAGAUGGUACAUAACAUUUCAUCUUAGAACCGUCAGCAAUCAAUGAACAAUACAUUAUUGCCAAAGUAGUCAUGCUGCUGUUGAUCAGAGAACUCAAAACUAGUGUUCUACUUCUAUUGUGUUGGGCUUUUCCAUUGACUUGCAGAUCAUUCUAGAAAUCUAUCAUAUAUAGAAAAAGGCAAAACUGAAAGAGAAAAGACUAGUUUUUGGUUCUCUGGUAAUGUCAAGCACACCAGUCCACUAUACUGGAGAAAUCGAAUUUAAAACUUUUCAGAAAUCGAAUUUAAAUCACAUGGUGUCUAACCUUUUGGAGAAAGAAUCUAUCUACUUGUAACACUAAUUGAUUUCAAAUAACUACAACGCAUCAUAAAAUAUCAUUUUUUUAAGUUAAAGCAAACACACACUUAUUAUUGAAUUUCUAUUUAUAGUAUUUGAAAAAUUAGACAUCACAAAAAAUAAUAUUGUAACGUGUCAUUGGAUAGCCAUUUUAAUAUAUUGCAAGUGUAUAUCUACUUAUAUGUGAGGUAUAUUUGCUUAAAUAAAAUUCAAUUACCAUAAAAAUAUAUAGUUUUUAAAUUAUAUUUAAAAAUUGUUUAUAAAAGAAUUAUAAAUUAAAUUUAAGUAGAUUAUUGUGCGUUCAUUAGGAAAUUGAACUUUGAGGUUCAAAAAUCUGUGUUUUGAAUUUCAAUUUUACUAGUAUUAUUAAAAGUACAAAGUGUUUCAAAUCAUUUACCACUUAUUUAUUUAACUCAAUAAAAGGAAAUCUAAUUAAAGAAGGAAAUUUAUACUAUUAUUAAUAUUAAAAGGAAAUUCAAUAAAAGAAAAUAUAUAAUACUAAUUUUUUUUUCUAAAUAAUAUUUAAAAAAAAUGCUAAAGUUAAACUACUAAAAUUUAAUAAAAAUCUAUUUAGAGAAAGAAAUGCUAAUAAUAAUGACAUACUAGUAUGGAAUAUUAAAAUUCAGUAAAUAAAAAUCUAAUUAGAGAAUGAAAUAUAUAAUAUUAAAAACUUAUUUAAUAAUAUAGUACUAGGACACACUAAUAAUUAUAAUAAUAUAGUAGCAUAGUUGAAAAUCUAAUUAGAGAAGAAAAUAUAUAUAAUUAAAAAAACGGAAAUAUUGAAAUUCAAUAAAAGGAAAUUUAAUUAGAGAACAAAAUAUAUAAUGUUAAAAAAAAUUAUUUAUUUAAUUCAAUAAAAUAAAAUCCAAUUAGAGGAGAAAUACUAAUAAUAACAAUAUAGUAGUAGAAAAUACUAAAAGGAAAUCUAAUUAGAGGAGAUAAUCGUAAUAAUAAUAUAAUAGUUAAAAUUACUGAAAUUCAAUAAAAAGAAAUUUAGAGAAUAAAAUAUAUAAUUUAUUUCAAUAAAUACAUAAUAUCAAUUCUAUAUCAAAAUAUACUAAUAAAAUCCUAAACUAAGAAUUCUAUAUACAAAAUUAUUUUUAUAAUUAACAUUUUUAGAAUUUAUUUUAAAUUUUUAGAAUGUUAUUAAUAAUAAGGAUAAAUUACAAUGGCCUCCCCUGAGGUUUAACCUAAUUACAAAUAAACCUGAGGUUUGUAUUAUUUUUGCAAUGUGUCCUAUGAGGUUUGCCCGAUUUUGCAAAGACCUCCCUUCGUACAAAAAUGAACAUGUUAGAAAUUAGUUUAAAGUGACCAUAAUACCCUUCAACUAAGUAAAAAGACCCUAUUGCCCUUACUAUGUCAUCAAAUUUAAAUAAAAUAAAAAAAAAAAAAAAAAUUGUUUAAAGAACCAAAAUUGCCCUU